This 1847-nucleotide long non-coding RNA is filed under the name Lactuca sativa (garden lettuce). RNAcentral describes it as "long non-coding RNA (LSAT_LNC009185)". The record is from RNAcentral. Lineage: Eukaryota; Viridiplantae; Streptophyta; Magnoliopsida; Asterales; Asteraceae.
AUCUCUCUCUCUCUCUCUCUCACACACACACACAACAAUCACCUAAUUCAUCUUCUACGACCAUCCCUCCCAAAAAUCAUUCAACAUUUUCUUUUGGUUUUUCCCAUUUUUACGCCUACUACAAAAUCAUUCUACAUCCUAGGGUUCGAAUUACCCUCUUCUUCAUGUUCUAUUGCUCAGGGACGACAUCCUCCUCUACCAAUUUUUCUCUGGUUCUAAAGAUGGUGUUCUUGAGAAGAACAUAUAAGUGAAUGAAGAGAUUGUUAAUAAAAAGUCGGAUUUCAUUUCCACUGCCACUAGUACAAAAUACAUCACGUUUUGUUGUUCUGGAAUGAUUCAGAAGACCCCUUUGCAUUUUAUAACCGAAGCUCGAGUACUCUCGAUUGUUUUUCAAGUAUAGUCAUCUUCUUGGAGAUGCUUUCAUGGCUUCCUUUCGGAAACCCUAAUUCGUUAGUUAAUUUAAUGUUUGAAUCGGUCAAUUGAGCUACCUUCCCUUCGGUUGUUUUAGCCCUACCUUCUGUUGUGUAAAAUUUAUCUUUUAAUGACUUUAUAAUGCUUUCUAUUUCUCUUACAUGUUUUUGAAUCGAUUCUUUUUGUUGAAUUUGCAUUCUUCAGGUUAGAUUUUGAUUCGUUGAAUUGUUCUUCUAAAGAUUCAGAUUUUUCUCUCAAACUUAAAAUUUCAAGAUUAUCUGCAACAAGCUGGGUGAUUUUUCUAUCGAGUUUCUUGAUUAAAGCGUUCUAUGUUCAAUAAUUUGAUACAGUUUUCAAGUUUUAACUUAAAUCUAUCUUCUCUGUGAUUGAACCUAUUAAGAUUAAAUUGAAUGAGCUGAUGUUGAGCACAACAUAAGCAUUAUCGGCUUCCAAAAUCAACCCCAAACGACUUCUGCUGCUUUUCCCAUGAUAAACACGACUUGUUCUGUCAAUCCUAAUUUUAGCUUCACAUCUUCUUCGUUUUGUUUUGAUUUCGUUAAUUCCUUCUCAAGAUCAAACAGUGUGUAUCUAGUUUAAAUUGCAGAGAGAGAGAGAGAGAGAGAGAGAGAGAGAGAAUGGUGAAGGGUGGGUGGGGGAUAAUUUAUUCAUUUUCUUUUUAUUUUUAAUAUAAAACAGUAUUAGAAUAAAUAUAAAAAAUACAAAAAGGGAUAUAAAAGGGCAUAAUCGUCUUUUCAAAUUUUUUUGAACCAAAAUCAAAGAAAUUUUUUGAUUUUGGACCUUUCAUGCAAGUUGAGAACUUUUUGGACCCUAUCCAUAGUUUUUCGCAAACCACAGGGACAAAUUUUGUAGUUUUGUCAAAAUUAUAUUAGAAAGGUAGCAAGCACGAGUGAAAAACUAUUACAAAAAAGCGUACAAAAUAGGGUUCAUCAACCACAUAGCCUAAACUACAUUGCAUUUCUUAUUCCUAUUCUGAUCCAAUCAAACGAUUUAACAAAGUACAAUUUUCCUAAAAAAAGUACUUUUAGGGAGCAUGUUAAUCGCAAAAACCACCCCAGUUCAAUAUGUCCAUAACACCCACAUAGUAGUCAUGAUGAUCACCUCUAACAUUUUGCUCAUUCCGGACUCCACAGAGACAUUAUCCACCCAAUAAAACAAAUCAUGAAUCGUGUGAAUUAAAGGGAAUGGAUGAUUAAUCCAUUUAAAAACCUUAACUUUAACAAUCUCACAUGUUAAGAAUAAGUGGUUACCAUCUUCAGCUUCUUUAUCACAAACAGGAAAAAGGAAAAAGGGAAUGUCAAUCCCUCUAAUCUACAAGUUAACUCUAGUAGGAAUCAUGCCGAGCAACACCCUCCAAAUAAGCACAUUAACUUCGAUAUGCGCAAACCUAUUCCAGUGAGUCUGAUUCCCACUUUCAC